Molecule: ribosomal RNA, 458 nt
Filed under: uncultured bacterium
Lineage: Bacteria
Description: bacterial SSU rRNA
Rfam family: Bacterial small subunit ribosomal RNA
Source: RNAcentral
UACGGAAGGCAGCAGUGGGGAAUAUUGCACAAUGGGCGAAAGCCUGAUGCAGCUAUGCCGCGUGUAUGAAGAAGGCCUUAGGGUUGUAAAGUACUUUCAUCGGGGAGGAAAAAACAAAACUAAUAAUUUUAUUUCUUGACGUUACCCGAAAAAGAAGCACCGGCUAACUCCGUGCCAGCAGCCGCGGUAAUACGGAGGGUGCUAGCGUUAAUCAGAAUUACUGGGCGUAAAGAGCACGUAGGUGGUUUUUUUAAGUCAGAUGUGAAUCCCUGGGCUUAACCUAGGAACUGCAUUUUGAAACUGAAAUACUAGAGUAUCGUAGAGGGAGGUAGAAUUCUAGGUGUAGCGGUGAAAUGCGUAGAUAUCUGGAGGAAUACCUGUGGCGAAAGCGGCCUCCUAAACGAAUACUGACACUGAGUGCGAAAGCGUGGGGAGCAAACGAGGGAUUAGAUACCCGU